This 244-nucleotide unclassified non-coding RNA is filed under the name Hevea brasiliensis (rubber tree). Lineage: Eukaryota; Viridiplantae; Streptophyta; Magnoliopsida; Malpighiales; Euphorbiaceae. The record is from RNAcentral.
GACAAACUACACCUUUUAUAAAUACAAGUCUGGUUACAUUCAUCACUGUCUCAUUGCGGACCUCAAGUACGAUACCAAGUAUUAUUACAAGAUUGGGAGUGGUGAUUCUGCUCGAGAAUUCUGGUUCCAGACACCCCCAAAGGUUGAUCCAGAUGCUUCAUACAAAUUUGGGAUAAUUGGUGAUCUGGGUCAAACGUUCAAUUCUCUUUCUACUCUUAAGCAUUAUAUGAAGAGUGGAGGGCAG